GAAAAACAAGGACUGAGGUGGAGCACACAAUUCAUCCCCCUUUCCUCCAGAACCAACCACCUAAUGAGAAACCUUGGGAACUAGAUGCACAGGACAUGAUUAUUCAGUGUUUCGUCCAAGAAGUUGGAAGCUUGUGGCAGCUAUUCAUGGAAAUGAAUUCCACCAUGGUUUUGACUGUGAGGUGGCCAAGGCAAGUGCGAGAGUGAAUAAUCACCUACAGGCAAAGCUGACCAAGAAAACUUCUCAGAAACCGCCCACCACGAGGAACCUUAGAAAAAUCGGAGGCUCAAAACUCUGUAGCCAGGGUUCCAAGGUGAAUGAAGAGCUGAAUCAGAACGGACCAGAGGAGGUCCCAGAGAGUGUGGAGAUGCCUGUCAUUCCAGCGGGACCGGUGGGCAGCC
Molecule: long non-coding RNA, 401 nt
Organism: Bos taurus (domestic cattle)
Lineage: Eukaryota; Metazoa; Chordata; Mammalia; Artiodactyla; Bovidae
Source: Ensembl